GACGAACGCUGGCGGCGUGCUUAACACAUGCAAGUCGAACGGAAAGGCCCUGCUUUUGUGGGGUGCUCGAGUGGCGAACGGGUGAGUAACACGUGAGUAACCUGCCCUUGACUUUGGGAUAACUUCAGGAAACUGGGGCUAAUACCGGAUAGGAGCUCCUGCUGCAUGGUGGGGGUUGGAAAGUUUCGGCGGUUGGGGAUGGACUCGCGGCUUAUCAGCUUGUUGGUGGGGUAGUGGCUUACCAAGGCUUUGACGGGUAGCCGGCCUGAGAGGGUGACCGGCCACAUGGGGACUGGGAUACGGCCAAGACUCCUACGGGAGGAAGCAGUGGGGAAUAUUGCACAAUGGGCGGAAGCCGGAUGCAGCACCGCCGCGUGCGGGAUGACGGCCUUCGGGUGGUAAACCGCUUUCGCCUGUGACGAAGCGUGAGUGACGGUAAUGGGUAAAGAAGCACCGGCGAACUACGU
RNAcentral lists this ribosomal RNA (467 nucleotides) under uncultured bacterium. Its description in RNAcentral is "partial 16S ribosomal RNA". It matches the Rfam family "Bacterial small subunit ribosomal RNA", at positions 28 to 506 of the family's 1533-position model. The record is from RNAcentral.